UGAUACACAAGUCACCUCGAAACAAAGCAAGCACCCGGAAGUAUUGGACCAUUGCAGAACUGGACAGCCUGCUCAAACAGAAGAAGUUUGACAUGCUCAACAAGGUGAACUCUGCUAUGCUGCUUGCCUGGCUGUGUCACAACAAUGUUCCUUGCAACAUCAAGACCAAGGAAAGCGACACCCUGUUCAAGAUAGCUCAGUACGUUGCUGAGGUUUGACAUUGUAGCUCAGCAUGCUUAUAAAGGGUGGCAGCAGCAAGAUUACUGCAAGAAUCUACUAGCAGCAAGACGACUGCAAAAAUACUCUUCUUUUUCUCUUCUUAUUUUGUUCUUUUAUUUGACAAAAUAAAGCUCAAUGCCGUUGGAUG
This is a long non-coding RNA of Rhipicephalus microplus (southern cattle tick), 367 nucleotides long. The record is from RefSeq and is a predicted model, not a curated record. NCBI's taxonomy places the organism in Eukaryota, Metazoa, Arthropoda, Arachnida, Ixodida, Ixodidae.